This 80-nucleotide small RNA is filed under the name Flavobacterium aquatile LMG 4008 = ATCC 11947. Its description in RNAcentral is "Flavobacterium aquatile LMG 4008 Flavo-1 RNA". It matches the Rfam family "Flavo-1 RNA". Lineage: Bacteria; Pseudomonadati; Bacteroidota; Flavobacteriia; Flavobacteriales; Flavobacteriaceae. The record is from Rfam by way of RNAcentral.
UUUUAGCCCUGAUUGCAGUGGAAAUCCUUUUCUUUUUUUCUUUAAAAAAGAAAAGAUUGGAGCGUAAAGCAGGAAUAGCU